UGUGGAUAUGGCUCAGUUAGUAGAGUGUUUGCCUCACAUAUACAAGGCUCUGGGUUCAACCCCCAGCACCACAA
Molecule: transfer RNA, 74 nt
Filed under: Marmota monax (woodchuck)
Lineage: Eukaryota; Metazoa; Chordata; Mammalia; Rodentia; Sciuridae
Description: tRNA.Val
Rfam family: tRNA
About the family: Transfer RNA (tRNA) molecules are approximately 80 nucleotides in length. Their secondary structure includes four short double-helical elements and three loops (D, anti-codon, and T loops). Further hydrogen bonds mediate the characteristic L-shaped molecular structure. tRNAs have two regions of fundamental functional importance: the anti-codon, which is responsible for specific mRNA codon recognition, and the 3' end, to which the tRNAs corresponding amino acid is attached (by aminoacyl-tRNA synthetases). tRNAs cope with the degeneracy of the genetic code in two manners: having more than one tRNA (with a specific anti-codon) for a particular amino acid; and 'wobble' base-pairing, i.e. permitting non-standard base-pairing at the 3rd anti-codon position.
Source: RNAcentral